CAGGCAUGCUGGGGCUCCGCAGCGGCGCCCGGGUUGUUGCGCCCGCCAACCGUGUACACACCGGAGCUUGU
RNAcentral lists this non-coding RNA (71 nucleotides) under Rhizobium mesoamericanum STM3625. Its description in RNAcentral is "ybhL". It matches the Rfam family "ybhL leader". Rfam says of the family: This family is a putative regulatory RNA structure that is found upstream of an uncharacterized membrane protein in alpha-proteobacteria. Lineage: Bacteria; Pseudomonadati; Pseudomonadota; Alphaproteobacteria; Hyphomicrobiales; Rhizobiaceae. The record is from RNAcentral.